Long non-coding RNA from Orcinus orca (killer whale), 389 nucleotides. RefSeq lists it as uncharacterized. The transcript has 3 exons. Lineage: Eukaryota; Metazoa; Chordata; Mammalia; Artiodactyla; Delphinidae. The record is from RefSeq and is a predicted model, not a curated record.
GCUGAGUUCCCUCCAUGUUGGUUGUUUGGCCUGAGGUGACCCAGCACUGGAGGCUACUGGCUCUUUGGUGGGGCUAAUGGUGGACUCUGGGAGGGCUCACGCCAAGGAGUACUUCCCAGAACUUCUGCUGCCAGUGUCCUUGUCCCUGUGGUGAGCCACAGCCACCCCCCACCUCUUCAGGAGACCCUCCAACACUAGCAGUAUAGGUUUUUACAAGAUACUGAAUACAGGUCCCUGUGCUACACAGGAAAAGACUGAAAACAAAACCAAAAGGGAUCAAUCCAGGAAGAAGAGAAGAGCAGGAGGAGACAGCAGCAGGAGCAGCUGGAGGCUGGAAAGGAGCUGGAUGUGGAGGAUGGAGGAGAGACCGCGAAACCAGCACCUGGAAA